This 354-nucleotide ribosomal RNA is filed under the name uncultured Gammaproteobacteria bacterium. RNAcentral's name for it is "bacterial SSU rRNA". It matches the Rfam family "Bacterial small subunit ribosomal RNA", at positions 524 to 876 of the family's 1533-position model. Lineage: Bacteria; Pseudomonadati; Pseudomonadota; Gammaproteobacteria. The record is from RNAcentral.
UACAGAGGGUGCGAGCGUUAAUCGGAAUUACUGGGCGUAAAGGGCGCGUAGGCGGUCUGGUCAGUCGGAUGUAAAAGCCCCGGGCUUAACCUGGGAAUGCCAUUCGAUACUGCCCGACUUGAGUAUGGUAGAGGGAAGCGGAAUUCCGGGUGUAGCGGUGAAAUGCGUAGAGAUCCGGAGGAACACCAGUGGCGAAGGCGGCUUCCUGGACCAAUACUGACGCUGAGGCGCGAAAGCGUGGGGAGCAAACAGGAUUAGAUACCCUGGUAGUCCACGCCCUAAACGAUGAGAACUAGCCGUUGGGGGUAUUAAAACCUUUAGUGGCGAAGCUAACGCGAUAAGUUCUCCGCCUGG